CAAACGGCCCUUUUUAGGGCCACCCAUUUAAUAGAAAGGGAUCGA
Ciona savignyi (Pacific transparent sea squirt) is the source of this 45-nucleotide non-coding RNA. The record is from Rfam. Lineage: Eukaryota; Metazoa; Chordata; Ascidiacea; Phlebobranchia; Cionidae.